Lotus japonicus is the source of this 2023-nucleotide RNA transcript. It is a transcript of the gene named F-box/FBD/LRR-repeat protein At1g78750-like, with no coding region annotated. NCBI's taxonomy places the organism in Eukaryota, Viridiplantae, Streptophyta, Magnoliopsida, Fabales, Fabaceae. The transcript is spliced from 2 exons. The record is from RefSeq and is a predicted model, not a curated record.
AAAAAAAUUCAAUUACAUAAAUAUGAUUUAUUUGGUAAUCACUUUCAAUUCAAAGGUAAAUUUUAGGGCAGGUAAAAGGUUAUUCACCAGUGCAACAAGAUAGAACGAAGAGGUGUACUAUCAACACUUUCUCAUUAAUUAGUCGAAAUUUAUGUGGUUUUUAUAUUUUUAGUAGACCUCAGUUGGAGUAUUGAAGAAACUAGAAAGUGUUGAAAAGAGAAUAUUGCUAGUAGAUAAAGAUGUGGAAUGUAAGCAAGUAACUAUACAAAUAUCUUGAGCAAAAAUGAAAAUUUGGCUCCGUCCAUUAUUUUUAAACAUUUCCCUCCACUGAAAAUGAAAAGGCAACUGCUAUAUAUAUACAUGGUAUUGGUAUCGGUAUUGGAACAGAACCGCCUUUUCUCUUUCACUCCACCACAAUUGAAAUCACGACGAGAUAUUUCUAUUUCUCAUUUCAUUUUCUCUGUUUCAAAAAUUUUCAUACUUUCUGAUACUCAAAUCCAAUUUUGCUAAAUGUUUGUUACUCCCAAAUGUCUGUUCAUUUAGAUUGCAGAAAAUUAUUCCUUUUUUUUUUCUUCCUUCGUUCAUGCAUAAGACUGAUCUUAAUGUCAAGUUCAACAGAUGAGAUGUUGAUUCCGCCAAAUGCAAAGAGAGGGAGGCACAGUGAGAGUGAGAAUGAAAUUGAAGAGAACGAAGACAGACUAAGUGACUUACCCGAUUGCAUCCUCCUUCACUUUUUGUCAUUUCUGAACGCCGGACGUGCAGUUCGAACUAGCAUGUUAUCCACAAGAUGGAAGAAUCUCUGGAAACGCAUUCCUACUCUUAAUUUACGCUCCUCAGAUUUUUCCACUGUGAAGAGUUUCACUGUAUUCGUGUCUACAAUUUUGACUCUUCGUGAUUGUUCAAUUGCCUUGCACCGUCUCCAUUUUGAUCGUAAUGGUUUCGUCGAGCCUCAUCUCCUCAAAAGGGUCGUAAACUACGCUAUUUCACACAAUGUCCAACAGUUAGCUUUGUCUGUCACGUGUGUGACAUUGAACGCAUUCCGUCUUGCCUUUUUUCAUGUCAGGCUUUAACAUCUCUUAAGCUCUCAGUUUACCCUAAAUAUCCUAAGUUUGAGAAGACAUUGUUUCCGAAAUCCCUUAAUUUGCCAGCACUGACAAGCUUGCAUCUAUAUAAAUUUGCAUUUCUGGCAAGUGACAAUGACCGUGCUGAACCCUUUUCAGGCUUCAACAGGCUGAAUAGUUUGAUCAUUGAAAACUGUAACAUCAAGGAUGCACAGAUUCUCUGCAUAUCAAGCGCAACGCUUGUCAAUUUAACAAUGAAGUGUCGUCUUUAUGAAGAUUUUUACAACCUCGAGCUAUCUUCUCCCAGUCUUCGUAGUUUGGCCUUAAAGGGCACUCCUAGUCUGCAACUUUGUGGGUGCAAUCUUUCUUCUGUUGAACAAGUAGAUAUUGAUGUUGAAAUGUUGACAAGUUCCCCCAAGUCUCCAUCGAUUCUGCUCAGCUGGCUGCAAGAGCUUGCUGAUAUAAAAUCAUUGAUUGUCUCUGCAAGUACUCUCCAGCUUAAGCUCCCUUUUCUUGGUGGCUUGAAGUCAUCGAAAGUUAUAGUAAGACCAACUUCAAAAGGAUUUGCCAUGACAAUGAGAAAUUCCAUGUUAGGUAAAGUAUCCUGGAGACAAUUUCUUAAGUUAAUGAAAGCAGCAUUGGAAACAUCUCCACCUAUGCCUGAUGGAAUAGUGGACAUUUUGCUUCAAAACUCGCUGUCCGCAAAGGUUGACAUCAUAGAUUGCUCGAGGCAAAAGGAGCAUUCAAGAUUUUAAACAGAGAUUCUUAUAAUUGGUUUGGUGUUAGUUAUCUAAUGUCUGGUGUUAGUUAUCUAAUGUCUUCCUUCUCUGUUUUUGUUCCCCUGAACCUCUCUGGUGUUUCUGAUCAUCAGUGGGCAAGUUACUAGUUCAUUGGUUAGAGAAAUAAGUUGUAUGUGUAUACUGAAUUGAUUUUAUCAAAUCUCAGCUUAAAUUGAUCCUCUA